CAGCAGCAGCCGCGGGAAUACGUAGGUCCCGAGCGUUGUCCGGAUUUAUUGGGCGUAAAGCGAGCGCAGGCGGUUUGAUAAGUCUGUCUAGAAAGUGCGGGGCUAAACCCCGUGAGGGGAUGGAAACUGUAUGCCUUGAGUGCAGGAGAGGAAAGCGGAAUUCCCAGUGUAGCGGUGAAAUGCGUAGAUAUUGGGAGGAACACCAGUGGCGAAGGCGGCUUUUUGGACUGUAACUGACGCUGAGGCUCGAAAGCCAGGGGAGCGAACGGGAUUAGAUACCCGCGUAGUCCCUGUCUCUUAUACA
This 304-nucleotide ribosomal RNA is filed under the name uncultured bacterium. RNAcentral's name for it is "partial 16S ribosomal RNA". It matches the Rfam family "Bacterial small subunit ribosomal RNA", at positions 506 to 809 of the family's 1533-position model. The record is from RNAcentral.